CAAUAGCGUAUAUUAAAGUUGUUGCAGUUAAAAAGCUCGUAGUUGGAUUUCUGGGAGGGUGCCGAUGUCCACUUAACGUGUGCGCAGCGGCGCCCUCUCAUCCUUCUGUUAGCGUCUCUUGGCAUUCAUUUGCUGGUGGCGGGCUCAGAUAUUUUACCUUGAGAAAAUUAGAGUGUUUCAGGCAGGCUAGGCCGGAAUACAUUAGCAUGGAAUAAUGGAAUAGGACUACGGUCUCUUUGUUGGUUUGAGGGACUGCAGUAAUGAUUAAUAGGGAUAGUUGGGGGUAUUCAUAUUCAAUUGUCAGAGGUGAAAUUCUUGGAUUUCUGGAAGACGAACUACUGCGAAAGCAUUUACCAAGGAUGUUUUCAUUAAUCAAGAACGAAAGUUAGGGGAUCGAAGACGAUUAGAUACCGU
RNAcentral lists this ribosomal RNA (414 nucleotides) under uncultured eukaryote. RNAcentral describes it as "SSU rRNA". It matches the Rfam family "Eukaryotic small subunit ribosomal RNA", at positions 592 to 1018 of the family's 1831-position model. The record is from RNAcentral.